GCUAAAUCCUACGCUAUUAGGUGGAUGACUCGGCUCAAAUGCUGAUGAAGGGUGUGGCAAGCUACAGAAUGCUCUGGCGAGACGCACGCAGUCUUUGAACCAGAGGUACCUGAAUGAGACUUCUCAUUUACUCCGUAAGGAGAGGGAACGCAGGGAAUUGAAACGUCUUAGUACCUGCAGGAAAAGAAAUCAAUUGAGAUGCUGCAAGUAACAGCGAGUGAAAACAGCACAAGGCAAACUGAAUCCUUUAUUGAAAGAUAAAGGAAAUGUGGUGUUAAAAGACUACCUAUACGGAUCUAAUCUCAGGAAUCUAAAGUUGUCUGGAAAGACAUGUCUUAGAGUGUGAUAGCCACGUAAGGGUAACUGAGAAGAUUCUGGUAGUAUCUUGAGUACUGCUCACUGGAUAUUGAGUGGGAAUUUAGGAGGUAUCAACUUCUAACCUUAAAUACAAUUUGAGUCCGAUAGAGAAUAGUACAGCGAUGGAAUGUUGAAAAGUACCCAUGACAGGAAGUAAAAAGAGCCUGAAACCUAAUAGCCAUAGUUUGGUACUGCUCUACGGAGUUGUACCAUGCGUUUCGAAUAACGUGCCAGGGAGUUCAUCUGAGUGGCAAGGGUAAUCUGCAAGAGGACCCAAAGCGAAAGCAACAUGCUCGCAGCUUGCAAGGAGCGUGGUAUGAAAAUGCCAGGAGUCACUUGGAUGUAACCCGAAGCCGGACGAUCUAACCCUGAGUAAGGUGAAGUAACUGUAAAAGGUUAUGGAGGCCUGAAGAGGUUCUACGAGCAAGUGUUCUUCUAACUUGGGGUUAGGGGUGAAAAGCCAAUCGAGUCCGGCAAUAGCUGGUUCCUACCGAAGUUGGCCGUAGUCAAGCCUUAGAGGAAAUAGCUAGAGUAGUAGAGCUACGGGUUGAAGAUUUAGGUCCCGAAAGGGAUCGAUUUUCUGUCCAACUCCGAACAUUCUAGCAUUACAGAAUCUAAGAGACGGGAAGCCGGGGUAAGCCCGGUUUCCGAGAGGGGAACAACCCAGACUAUAGUUAAGGUCCCUAAUACUGACUAAGUGUGAAAGGGUGAAAAGUGUCUAUUAUCACAGACAGCGAGGAGGUUGGCUUAGAAGCAGCCACCCUUUAAAAAGUGCGUAACAGCUUACUUGUCAAGAUGAUAGGCCUUUAAAAUGGACGGGACUAAGUCAGUUACCGAUACUAUAGAAUGCUUAAAAAGCAAUUAGUAGGUAGGCAUUCUGCAAGGACAGAAGUAUUUUUGCAAAAAAAUAUGGACCUUGUAGAAAUGAGAAUCCUGGUGGUAGUAGGAUCUUAGCACUGUAAGAAUCAGUGCCACUGAAAGGGCAAGGGUUCCUUGGCAAUGCAAAUCAGCCAAGGGUUAGUCGAACCUAACCAAAUCCAUAAAUUGGACUAUGGGAAAAGGAUAAAGGUUAAUAUUCCUUUACUAUUCAAGUAUACGUGGCAACACAAGCUUUAUUUCUGACAUUUCUGAUUAGGCUAACAUUGUUUGUCUACAAUGUCAACUAGAAUAAAUCGGGGGAGUAUCGUAAUGAUGAGAACCUGAUUAAAUCUAGGACGAGCGUUCUUAUGGGACGUUUAGCCGAUAUCUGGAAUCCGUGAAAAGGGAGUAGAGAAAAAACUUGAAUAUUCGUACCAAGAACCAGCACAGGUGCCCCUAGGUGAGAAGCCUAAAGUGUGAAGGAUUAAUCUAGUUGAGGGAAUUCGGCAAAUUAGCCCCGUGCCUUCGGUAAAAGGGGUCCCUGCAAUUGUUGCUUAGCAAUUGAUUGCAGGGUGCAAUGACUAAGGGGGUCCGACUGUUUAACAAAAACUUAACUGACUGCUAGCCUGUAAAGGUGUGUAUAGUCAGUGACACCUGCCCAGUGUCUGUACUUCAAACUUCCUUACAAGGAAGCUAAGAGCAGAUAAACGGCGGGGGUAACUAUAACUCUCUUAAGGUAACGUAAUACCUUGUCGUUUGAUUGACGACUUGCAUGAAUGACGUAACGAGAUCCCUUCUGUCCCCAAUUGGAAUCCUCUGAACACUCUUUACUGGUGCAAAGGCCAGUGAUCUCCAGUGGGAAGCGAAGACCCCGUGAAACUUUACUGUAGUUUGUUGUUGCGAUGUGAGUUUUGAUGUAUAGUGUAAG
Molecule: ribosomal RNA, 2143 nt
Filed under: marine metagenome
Description: bacterial LSU rRNA
Rfam family: Archaeal large subunit ribosomal RNA
Source: RNAcentral